CCCGAUGUCACAAUAACAACGCUAAUGAUAGAUUGACAUCUGGUGUGGGGAGUUUGACGUGGCGAUCUGUGAGAGGAUUAUGGAGGCGGAGUAACCACAUAAAAAGAGAAGUGCAGAGACCAAAAAGGAGGUGAAUUUCUGGGACGUUUGGGCUGGCGUGUGGAGGUAUUCGAGGACUAUUGUGGGGUUUCGGCUAUCUGGCUGUGCAACAGUUAUAUCAGCGAUCGAGUGGAGAUAUUCGGGACAGAAAGAGUGUGAGUUCUGGAAAGCAAGUGGAGACCAGGCCGUGCCAUCCCUAUCGGAGGGAAGUUAAGAGAUCUGAUCUGGGACUUCGAUCAAUUGUAUACAUCUGGACUGGGAGUGAUAACGUUGUGAAGUGGACGGAGCCAUCGUUGGAUCGCAGGAUCCUCUGGGCUGAACGCCGCAUGUGAUGUCCCUAUGAAAGGAGGUGGACACAAGAAUUAUUCUUUUCCUGGCACUGACCGAAGCAUCUCCCAGCCGUAAGCCCCAUUACUUAUUCAAGAACACCUACUUACUGUUGAUUACUUACUCUGCUGUGCAGAUCGCAGGAUCCUCUGGGCUGAACGCCGCAUGUGAUGUCCCUAUGAAAGGAGGUGGACACAAGAAUUAUUCUUUUCCUGGUUACAACCGAAGCAUCUCCCAGCCGUAAGCCCCAUUACUUAUUCUAGAACACAUACUUACUGUUGGUUACUUACUCUGCGGUGCAGAUCGCAGGAUCCUCUGGGCUGAACGCCGCAUGUGAUGUCCCUAUGAAAAGAGAUUGCAGGAUCCUCUGGGCUGGACGCUGCAUGUGAUGUCCCUGUAAAAGGAGGUGGACACGAGAAUUAUUCCUUUUCCCGGUCUCGACCGAAACAUCCACGAGCUCUACUUACCCGGAUAUCCCCCCCUCAUUCCGGGACGGGUGACAGACUAUCCUGGCUCUUGCCGGCCCCGUACAGGCACGAACUGCCGACGACUCCACGCCUCCCCGGCGUCCGAGGUCUGGCUUCGUUCUGGUCGGGAGACACGGAAGGAACACUGAACUUUUAAAUUGCUUUUAACCAAAUAAAACCUUGUUCAAUUUUUUUUAUA
Molecule: long non-coding RNA, 1092 nt
Organism: Cyprinus carpio carpio
Lineage: Eukaryota; Metazoa; Chordata; Actinopteri; Cypriniformes; Cyprinidae
Source: Ensembl